UACGUAGGCGGUUUUUUAGGUUCAGGUGUGAAAGCGUGAGGCUUAACCUCAUUAAGCACUUGAAACUGGAAGACUUGAGUGAAGGAGAGGAAAGUGGAAUUCCUAGUGUAGCGGUGAAAUGCGUAGAUAUUAGGAGGAAUACCGGUGGCGAAGGCGACUUUCUGGACUUUUACUGACGCUCAGGUACGAAAGCGUGGGGAGCAAACA
This 207-nucleotide ribosomal RNA is filed under the name uncultured bacterium. Its description in RNAcentral is "partial 16S ribosomal RNA". It matches the Rfam family "Bacterial small subunit ribosomal RNA", at positions 568 to 774 of the family's 1533-position model. The record is from RNAcentral.